GUUUGUUAAGGGAGACAUUUCAUAUACAUGUUGGAAAUCCACGCCUGGCAUCUCCAGUAAGGGCAGAAAAAAAUCCUGUUGAAAAUCUAGAGAGGUGCUGUCAGCCAUUAUUUAUAAUUCAGGGAGCAAUUAUUUGAUUCAGUAUAAACACUUUUCCCAUGUUCUAUGCCCUGUAUUUUAUAAUUAAAGUAGGGUACAGUGCUCAAAAUGAAGAGUAUUUAGUUGAUUAACUAUCUGCCUCUUAAUACAAGUAAAUUCAUUAACACAAAUUAAUAUACUACCUAAACCACUCUAUAGAUCUUUUGUUUGAUGCUGAUGCAACAUGAAAUGAGCAAAUGGAAAGUUUCUUGUUUUGCAACGACAUGUCAUUAAUGUUUACCUCUUCAUUACCGAGUUCAUUAAGAAUUUGUAUUAAUUCUCUCUUACAGCAACAUUCCCAAACCAAAGGGACUGAGAAAAUAACUGGGCCUCAUAUCUGAACCUCACUAAUUCAAAUGGUCUCUUACUGAUUAAUCAACCAAGGCUGCAUAUUUAAUUGGGAAUAAGUCCCACUGAAUUCACUGGAUCACUUGUAAGUAAAUGUGUGAAAUCUUUUUGCCAUGUUUUAAAUUCAUGACAGACUACAUCUGUUUGGCUUCUCUUUUCCUUAAACCAUUUUCACCCUGCUAGUUGUUAACAAUUUGUCUUUCAGCACCUCAUCCCUUUUUCCUUUCAUAUAAUCUCUUUCAGAUCAUAAGACUUUCCUCUGGCAGUAUGGUGAUCAAGAAGCAGGGGAAAGGGACAGUGCCAUCUUCCCUGUUGGAAAAUCCCAUCAUUGCCUCCCUCCCUUGCUUUUAGAGCAAUUAGAUAGGACAGGAUUUCCUGCACGUGAAACUCUUCUUUGUUUCUCACCUAAAGCCUCCCAAUGUGUUCUUCCUACCCUCUGGAAUACAUACUAAGAAAUACCUCUCUUGUGUCUGCAGGUAACUAGACCAUGUGAUCCAAGAAUGUUUCUAGGAUCAUCAGUCAUAUAAAGACCCUGCAUCUCAGUCUCUGCAAUACGAAAUUAUUUUCUCUUUUCAGUUUUCAGAUCUUUUUUUUUCCUGUCCUCAGUCAUGCUUCAAUUCAACAUCAAAAGAUGGAGAUGACCUGACUCCUGAGUAGACCGGCCUGGAACAUCAAGCAUCACGAAUGGCAAGCCUGUCCCUGCCCCUUCUGUGAAAAUUUCAGACAGGAAUAUAAAAUUACAACUACUGCUGAAGGCAUUGCCCUUGUACCAUUAAGCUAAUAAGUAUAAUCUCCUUUUUCCACUCUGUAUUAACUUGAGGUAAGAAGAGGAAAGGUUUGACCUAAGUUGGGCUCUCAUAAUAUAGCUUUAUCAAAUAGGCCAUGUAUAUUAUUCUCUUGGCUCUGCUAGCUGCUGUAACUGAGAUUUAAAUGAAUGCAUAUUUCAAUAAAAGAUGGGUUAUGGUGAGCUGCUCCUUGCUGUUUAUAUUAAGGAUACUCUCCGCUCUAGGCUUUGCUCUAAAGAAACAAGUGAUACUGAUUUUCCAUGGGACUUGGGGGCUGUAGCAACCCCUUGCAAUGUGUCACAUGAUUUUUAAUUUUUUAAAAAUAAAACUUAAAAAAAAAGUUUUAGGUCCAGGAGAGGCCUUUAAAAAAGUGAAUUACUUGUCCAAGAAAAAGCUUCACUUAGGCCCCAAACAAUGUGUGACAGACAAAGCAUGGCAAAAUGUCCCCAUGUCCCCUGGGGAGUUGGGGAGUUAUUUUGGACCAGCAUUUGGUCCAAAAUGCCAUUCUGAUUCUGAACCGAUGCCUGUCAUCAGUGAUGGACUGGAUGAAGGCCAAAAAAACUGAACCUAAAUCCUGACAAGAAAGAGGUACUCCUGGUCAGUCGAAAGGCGGAUCAGGGUGUGGGAUUACAACCUGUGUUGGAUGGGGUCGCACUCCCCCUCAAGACACAGACAGGUUCGCAGUCUGGGUGUGCUUCUGGACUCAUUGUUGACCCUGGAACCUCAGGUUUCGGUAGUGGCCAGGAGACAGUUAAAACUUGUGUGCCAGCUACACCCAUACCUUGAGAUGCCAGACUUGGCCAUUGUACUCCAAAGCUACCCAGUCACAUGGACUACUGCAACACUCUCUACAUGGAGCUGCCUUUGAAGAUAGUUUGGAAACUACAGCUAGUUCAGCAAUUGGCAGCCAGGUUACUAACUGGAGCCCCGUACAGGGAGAGAACUACUCCCAUGUUGCGGCAGCUCCACUGGCUGCCAGUUCGUUUCCGAGCUAAAUAAAAAAUGCUGGUAGUUACCUAUAAAGCCCCAAACGGCUCAAGUCCAGGCUAUUUGUCAAAUCGCAUCUCCCUGUAUAGACCAUCUCGGGCACUUCGGUCAGCGGAGGAGGCCCUGCUCUUGGUCCCACCCCUGUCACAAGUGCAGUUGGUGGGAAUAAGAAAGGGGGCCUUCUCCGUGAUCACCUCCUGCCUCUGGAACUCCCUCCCUAAAGAAGAAAAAUAGUCCCCACCCUCCUCUUCUUUAAGAAACAGUUAAAGACACAUCUAUGCACCUUAGUGUAUGGAGAGGAGGAGGAUUAACAUAACUGCCACCCCACAGCAGCUGUGGUCUAAGUGAAACUACAACAAAUACUAAACAUUUUCAGCAACUUGGUCAUUUAAAUCGGUCCAGGUAUAUGCUCGCUCUGUGCAAUAAUGUUUCUACUGAGUGUCAUGUUUAAAUUUGUUUUUUCUAAAUUUUCUAAAUAUAAUAUUUUUUAUUAUAACAGGUAUGCUAUUGUCAUUUUAUAAUUUUGGUAUUAGUGAAAUAUUGAAUGUUUGUUGUUUAUAUGUAUGUUAACUGCUCUGAGUCCCUCUGGGGAGAGAGGGCGGUCUAAAAAUAAAUAAUUAUUAUUACUA
Molecule: long non-coding RNA, 2887 nt
Organism: Anolis carolinensis (green anole)
Lineage: Eukaryota; Metazoa; Chordata; Lepidosauria; Squamata; Anolidae
Exons: 2
Source: RefSeq, a predicted model, not a curated record